UUUUGACUAAAAUACCCUUAGCAAACAAUAAAAAGAUGAUGAUUAUCCUUUGACUGGGUUUGACUUCGUUAUUUAGUUCUUCGCCACCGUCUCUUCCCUCGCCUCAUCUCCGCCUCUCUUCUCUCAAAUCCUGCUCAAAGCCCAAACCCUCGCCGUCUCUUCCUUCGUCCGCCACCGCCUCAUCUCCCCGUUUCAGUAAAGAAUGGCUCGAUUCAAAAGGAAGAAGGCGCUCCCAAAGCCGUCUACGGUGAAGAAUACACCCUGCGUGGAUCGGAUCACUGGGCAGACGAUCCCGAAGAGUUUUGUCUUCUCCAGGGGGAAGCUAGGCCUUCCCAGAGAUCUCGAAUUGGAUCUCCGGAAGCUUAUGCUCCCCCAUACCACCUUAAAAUUAAAGUGACAGGAGAAGAAACAGAAUAAACUCGAAGACUUGUGAAUGUUGCAGGGCCUAUGGGUGUGACCCAUUUUCUUAUACCAUCAAACUCAAAAGAGCAUGCCCCAUUUGCGUGUUGCAAGGACACCGCAAGGUCCGACAUUAACUUGUAAGAUACAUGAAUAUGCUUUGGCUGCUGAUAUUAUUCGAUCUCAGUCUCAUCCCAGUUGUCCUAAAGAGCUGUUCAGUAACUCGCCCCUAAUUGUUCUUUCUGGCUUUGGGAGUGGAGAUCAGCACCUGAAAAGCUCACAAGAAUCAUGUUUCAAAACAUCGUCUCAGCCAUUGACAUAAAUAUGCAUUAUUCCAUCCGUCUACAACUGAUUGGUGUAACUCGGAGGAUUAGAAAGUUUGUUUGAAUCUUGGCAUGCCAGAUUUGAGGAAUCUUCAGGAUGUUGGCGAUUUCCUGACCAAGUAAGAGCUAAUUUAUCUUUCAU
Musa acuminata AAA Group (dessert banana) is the source of this 864-nucleotide long non-coding RNA. RefSeq lists it as uncharacterized. Lineage: Eukaryota; Viridiplantae; Streptophyta; Magnoliopsida; Zingiberales; Musaceae. The record is from RefSeq and is a predicted model, not a curated record. The transcript has 5 exons.